GACGAACGCUGGCGGCGUGCUUAACACAUGCAAGUCGAACGGAAAGGCCUGCUUUCCCUUGUGGAUUGCGGGUACUCGAGUGGCGAACGGGUGAGUAACACGUGAGUGAUCUGCCCCCAACUUGGGUAUAAGCCUGGGAAACUGGGUCUAAUUCCCGAUAGGACUGCAGGGUGGUGCCUGUGGUGGAAAACGAUUUUCUAGUGGUUGGGGAUGAGCUCGCGGCCUAUCAGCUUGUUGGUGGGGUAAUGGCCUACCAAGGCGGCGACGGGUAGCCGGCCGGAGAGGGGGGACGGCCACAUUGGGACUGAGGUACGGCCCAGACUGCUACGGGAGGCAGCAGUGGGGAAUAUUGCACAAUGGGCGGAAGCCUGAUGCAGCGACGCCGCGUGGGGGAUGACGGCCUUCGGGUUGUAAACUCCUUUCGACCGCGAGGAAGCCACCUGGUUGGAAGGGUGGUGACGGUAGUGGUAGAAGAAGCACCGGCCAACUACGUG
Molecule: ribosomal RNA, 494 nt
Filed under: uncultured bacterium
Lineage: Bacteria
Description: partial 16S ribosomal RNA
Rfam family: Bacterial small subunit ribosomal RNA
Source: RNAcentral